RNAcentral lists this ribosomal RNA (779 nucleotides) under uncultured bacterium. RNAcentral's name for it is "bacterial SSU rRNA". It matches the Rfam family "Bacterial small subunit ribosomal RNA", at positions 240 to 1012 of the family's 1533-position model. The record is from RNAcentral.
AUUAGCUAGUAGGUAUGGUAAUGGCUUACCUAGGCGACGAUCCCUAGCUGGUUUGAGAGGAUGACCAGCCACACUGGAAUUGAGAUACGGUCCAGACUCCUACGGGAGGCAGCAGUGGGGAAUAUUGCACAAUGAGGGAAACCUUGAUGCAGCUAUGCCGCGUGUGUGAAGAAGGCCUUUGGGUUGUAAAGCACUUUUAAUAAGGAGGAAAACAAUAAUAAUAAUACUAUUAUUGUGUGACAUUACUUAUAGAAAAAGCACCGGCUAACUCCGUGCCAGCAGCCGCGGUAAUACGGAGGGUGCUAGCGUUAAUCGGAAUUACUGGGCGUAAAGAGUACGUAGGCGGUUUUCUAAGUCAGAUGUGAAAGCCCUAGGCUUAACCUAGGAAUUGCAUUUGAAACUGGUAAGCUAGAGUCUCACAGGGGGGUAGAAUUCCAGGUGUAGCGGUGAAAUGCGUAGAUAUCUGGAGGAAUACCAGUGGCGAAGGCGGCCCCCUGGGUGAAGACUGACGCUGAGGUACGAAAGCGUGGGGAGCGAACAGGAUUAGAUACCCUGGUAGUCCAGGCUGUAAACGAUGUCGAUUUGAAGGUUGUGGUCUAUGAAUUAUGGCUUUCGGAGCUAACGUGUUAAAUCGACCGCCUGGGGAGUACGGCCGCAAGGUUAAAACUCAAAUGAAUUGACGGGGGCCCGCACAAGCGGUGGAGCAUGUGGUUUAAUUCGAUGCAACGCGAAGAACCUUACCUACCCUUGACAUCCAAAGAACUGUAUAGAGAUAUACA